AGUGAACGCUGGCGGCAGGCCUAAUACAUGCAAGUCGAACGGCAGCACAGUGGAGCUUGCUCCAUGGGUGGCGAGUGGCGGACGGGUGAGGAAUACAUGGGAAUCUGCCCAGUCGUGGGGAUAACGUAUGGAAACGUACGCUAAUACCGCAUGCGCCCUUCGGGGGAAAGUCGGGGGACCGCAAGGCCUGACGCGAUUGGAUGAGCCCAUGUUCGAUUAGCUAGUUGGCGGGUAACGGCCCACCAAGGCGACGAUCGAUAGCUGGUCUGAGAGGAUGAUCAGCCACACUGGAACUGAGACACGGUCCAGACUCCUACGGGAGGCAGCAGUAGGGAAUAUUGGACAAUGGGCGCAAGCCUGAUCCAGCCAUGCCGCGUGAGUGAAGAAGGCCCCCGGGUUGU
This 401-nucleotide ribosomal RNA is filed under the name uncultured bacterium. RNAcentral's name for it is "bacterial SSU rRNA". It matches the Rfam family "Bacterial small subunit ribosomal RNA", at positions 29 to 426 of the family's 1533-position model. The record is from RNAcentral.